UACACUCCUACGGGAGGCAGCAGUGGGGAAUAUUGCACAAUGGGCGCAAGCCUGAUGCAGCCAUGCCGCGUGUAUGAAGAAGGCCUUCGGGUUGUAAAGUACUUUCAGCGGGGAGGAAGGCGAUAAGGUUAAUAACCUUGUCGAUUGACGUUACCCGCAGAAGAAGCACCGGCUAACUCCGUGCCAGCAGCCGCGGUAAUACGGAGGGUGCAAGCGUUAAUCGGAAUUACUGGGCGUAAAGCGCACGCAGGCGGUCUGUCAAGUCGGAUGUGAAAUCCCCGGGCUCAACCUGGGAACUGCAUUCGAAACUGGCAGGCUAGAGUCUUGUAGAGGGGGGUAGAAUUCCAGGUGUAGCGGUGAAAUGCGUAGAGAUCUGGAGGAAUACCGGUGGCGAAGGCGGCCCCCUGGACAAAGACUGACGCUCAGGUGCGAAAGCGUGGGGAGCAAACAGGAUUAGAAACCCGGGUAGUCCCA
This 474-nucleotide ribosomal RNA is filed under the name uncultured organism. RNAcentral's name for it is "partial 16S ribosomal RNA". It matches the Rfam family "Bacterial small subunit ribosomal RNA", at positions 332 to 797 of the family's 1533-position model. The record is from RNAcentral.